GCAAACGUAGCUUACUUAAAGCAUAACACUGAAGCUGUUAAGACGAACCCUAAUAAGUUCCGUGAGCA
Molecule: transfer RNA, 68 nt
Filed under: Datnioides polota (four-banded tigerfish)
Lineage: Eukaryota; Metazoa; Chordata; Actinopteri; Lobotiformes; Datnioididae
Description: tRNA-Phe
Source: RNAcentral